UACAGGGGAUGCAAGUGUUAUCCGGAAUUAUUGGGCGUAAAGCGUCUGCAGGUGGAUAUGUAAGUCUUUUGUUAAACCUCUGAGCUUAACUCAGAACCUGCAAAAGAAACUACAUAUCUUGAGUAUAGUAGGGGUAAAGGGAAUUUCCAGUGGAGCGGUGAAAUGCGUAGAGAUUGGAAAGAACACCAACAGCGAAGGCACUUUACUGGGCUAUUACUGACACUCAGAGACGAAAGCUAGGGGAGCAAACGGG
RNAcentral lists this ribosomal RNA (253 nucleotides) under uncultured bacterium. RNAcentral describes it as "partial 16S ribosomal RNA". It matches the Rfam family "Bacterial small subunit ribosomal RNA", at positions 524 to 776 of the family's 1533-position model. The record is from RNAcentral.